Molecule: long non-coding RNA, 517 nt
Organism: Cryptomeria japonica (Japanese cedar)
Lineage: Eukaryota; Viridiplantae; Streptophyta; Pinopsida; Cupressales; Cupressaceae
Exons: 3
Source: RefSeq, a predicted model, not a curated record
UUUUUAAUGUUUUUCUCCUUCUGUGGAUGUUUUCUUUCUUCUAUCGUUGCCCUGUUUUUACCUCUCGAUUGAUUUUCUGUGGCUGUUGUGUUUCUCUGUAAUAUUUCUUUUUCAUUUCAUAAAUUUUUUCUCUCAGUAGUUUCGUUUUAGCGUGCACGCUGGUCCGUCUAUUCAUUUUGUUUUCUGUACAUUUUAAUCUUGUGUUAUAUUUUUGUCCCCUGUAGUUUGAUGUGGUCUUGUCCAUGGUAGCAGAAAAAGAAGAGACAGAGAAGAGGCCACGACAGACGAAUGAGAAGAGGCAGAAUUCUGCUUCUUCUAGGACACGGGAACAGAUUGGAUGCAUUGUCAAGCAUAGCUGAGUAAGAGACAGAGAAGCAAAAGAAGAGACAGAGUAGAGGCGACGACAGAUGAAUGAGAAGAGGUAGAAUUCUUCUUCUUCCAGCAAAAGAAGAGACAGAGAAGAGGCGGUGGAAGAAGAUGAAUGAGAACAGACAUAAUUAUUCUUCUUACAGGUAAU